GCGGCGGACGGGUGAGUAACACGUGGGUAACCUGCCUGUAAGACUGGGAUAACUCCGGGAAACCGGGGCUAAUACCGGAUGCUUGAUUGAACCGCAUGGUUCAAUCAUAAAAGGUGGCUUUUAGCUACCACUUACAGAUGGACCCGCGGCGCAUUAGCUAGUUGGUGAGGUAACGGCUCACCAAGGCGACGAUGCGUAGCCGACCUGAGAGGGUGAUCGGCCACACUGGGACUGAGACACGGCCCAGACUCCUACGGGAGGCAGCAGUAGGGAAUCUUCCGCAAUGGACGAAAGUCUGACGGAGCAACGCCGCGUGAGUGAUGAAGGUUUUCGGAUCGUAAAACUCUGUUGUUAGGGAAGAACAAGUACCGUUCGAAUAGGGCGGUACCUUGACGGUACCUAACCAGAAAGCCACGGCUAACUACGUGCCAGCAGCCGCGGUAAUACGUAGGUGGCAAGCGUUGUCCGGAAUUAUUGGGCGUAAAGCGCGCGCAGGCGGUUUCUUAAGUCUGAUGUGAAAGCCCCCGGCUCAACCGGGGAGGGUCAUUGGAAACUGGGGAACUUGAGUGCAGAAGAGGAGAGUGGAAUUCCACGUGUAGCGGUGAAAUGCGUAGAGAUGUGGAGGAACACCAGUGGCGAAGGCGACUCUCUGGUCUGUAACUGACGCUGAGGCGCGAAAGCGUGGGGAGCGAACAGGAUUAGAUACCCUGGUAGUCCACGCCGUAAACGAUGAGUGCUAAGUGUUAGAGGGUUUCCGCCCUUUAGUGCUGCAGCAAACGCAUUAAGCACUCCGCCUGGGGAGUACGGUCGCAAGACUGAAACUCAAAGGAAUUGACGGGGGCCCGCACAAGCGGUGGAGCAUGUGGUUUAAUUCGAAGCAACGCGAAGAACCUUACCAGGUCUUGACAUCCUCUGACAACCCUAGAGAUAGGGCUUCCCCUUCGGGGGCAGAGUGACAGGUGGUGCAUGGUUGUCGUCAGCUCGUGUCGUGAGAUGUUGGGUUAAGUCCCGCAACGAGCGCAACCCUUGAUCUUAGUUGCCAGCAUUCAGUUGGGCACUCUAAGGUGACUGCCGGUGACAAACCGGAGGAAGGUGGGGAUGACGUCAAAUCAUCAUGCCCCUUAUGACCUGGGCUACACACGUGCUACAAUGGGCAGAACAAAGGGCAGCGAAGCCGCGAGGCUAAGCCAAUCCCACAAAUCU
RNAcentral lists this ribosomal RNA (1203 nucleotides) under Bacillus licheniformis. Its description in RNAcentral is "bacterial SSU rRNA". It matches the Rfam family "Bacterial small subunit ribosomal RNA", at positions 95 to 1283 of the family's 1533-position model. Lineage: Bacteria; Bacillati; Bacillota; Bacilli; Caryophanales; Bacillaceae. The record is from RNAcentral.